Molecule: ribosomal RNA, 535 nt
Filed under: Aspergillus intermedius
Lineage: Eukaryota; Fungi; Ascomycota; Eurotiomycetes; Eurotiales; Aspergillaceae
Description: eukaryotic LSU rRNA
Rfam family: 5.8S ribosomal RNA (bases 167-320)
Source: RNAcentral
GGGGACCUGCGGAAGGAUCAUUACCGAGUGCGGGCCCUCUGGGUCCAACCUCCCAUCCGUGUCUAUCUGUACCCUGUUGCUUCGGCGUGGCCACGGCCCGCCGGAGACUAACAUUUGAACGCUGUCUGAAGUUUGCAGUCUGAGUUUUUAGUUAAACAAUCGUUAAAACUUUCAACAACGGAUCUCUUGGUUCCGGCAUCGAUGAAGAACGCAGCGAAAUGCGAUAAUUAAUGUGAAUUGCAGAAUUCAGUGAAUCAUCGAGUCUUUGAACGCACAUUGCGCCCCCUGGUAUUCCGGGGGGCAUGCCUGUCCGAGCGUCAUUGCUGCCCUCAAGCACGGCUUGUGUGUUGGGCUUCCGUCCCUGGCAACGGGGACGGGCCCAAAAGGCAGUGGCGGCACCAUGUCUGGUCCUCGAGCGUAUGGGGCUUUGUCACCCGCUCCCGUAGGUCCAGCUGGCAGCUAGCCUCGCAACCAAUCUUUUUAACCAGGUUGACCUCGGAUCAGGUAGGGAUACCCGCUGAACUUAAGCAUAUCA